This 455-nucleotide unclassified non-coding RNA is filed under the name Hevea brasiliensis (rubber tree). Lineage: Eukaryota; Viridiplantae; Streptophyta; Magnoliopsida; Malpighiales; Euphorbiaceae. The record is from RNAcentral.
CAAAUAAAGAAGGCAUGCCUUUUUAGAACCUUGUGCCUGCAAUAAAGGUACACACUUAGGUGCCAGGGUUUGAGCCUGGUUAGCCUUAUCCUAACGCAUGCCUUUUUAAAUGAAUAUAUCGAUGUGUCACAAAGAGAAAUUUACAUGACAAGGAUAGGUCAUUCCUAAGCAUAAGCCUCAACAAGAAAUAAUUGAGAAAGAUUUAAGGUAUGCUUCAAUUUUUUGCAUUAAACAGUAAAAUGCACAUGUAAAGUUCAUAUCAUAUAUAGUUAGGGCCAAGGCUUAUUGCGGCCCUCUAUAAUAAUUUUUUAUUACCUACCCAUAUUAAAAAUUAGAGCUAAAAUCAAUCGUGGAAGGGUUGCCGUUCUACCAUUUAAAACAACUAAACAUACAGAGAAGAUAGUCCAUUAUUAAACUUGAUGCAAUUCACAUGAUAGUUUAAAUACUGCUUGAUC